CCUACGGGUGGCAGCAGUGAGGAAUAUUGGUCAAUGGGCGCGAGCCUGAACCAGCCAAGUCGCGUGAGGGAAGACGGCCCUACGGGUUGUAAAUCUCUUUUGCCGGGGAGCAACGGGCGCCACGUGUGGCGCCACUGAGAGUACCCGGAGAACAAGCAUCGGCGAACUACGUGCCAGCAGCCGCGUUAAUACGGAGGAUGCGAGCGUUAGUCGGAAUUACUGGGCGUAAAGCGCUCGGAGGCGGUAUGGCAAGUCAACGGUGAAAUCCCCGGGCUCAACGUGGGAACUGCCUUUGAAACUGACAAACUGGAGUGUGUGAGAGGAUAGUGGAAUUCCAGGUGUAGGGGUGAAAUCCGUAGAUAUCUGGAGGAACAUCAGUGGCGAAGGCGACUAUCUGGCACAUAACUGACGCUGAGGAGCGAAAGCGUGGGUAGCAAACAGGAUUAGAUACCCUAGUAGUC
RNAcentral lists this ribosomal RNA (461 nucleotides) under uncultured bacterium. RNAcentral's name for it is "partial 16S ribosomal RNA". It matches the Rfam family "Bacterial small subunit ribosomal RNA", at positions 338 to 795 of the family's 1533-position model. The record is from RNAcentral.